UAGCGUGCUUGUUUGACGUUAGCUGCAGAAGAAGCACCGGCUAACUCCGUGCCAGCAGCCGCGGUAAUACGGAGGGUGCGAGCGUUAAUCGGAAUUACUGGGCGUAAAGCGCAUGCAGGUGGUUUGUUAAGUCAGAUGUGAAAGCCCCGGGGCUCAACCUCGGAAUUGCAUUUGAAACUGGCAGACUAGAGUACUGUAGAGGGGGUAGAAUUUCAGGUGUAGCGGUGAAAUGCGUAGAGAUCUGAAGGAAUACCGGUGGCGAAGGCGGCCCCCUGGACAGAUACUGACACUCAGAUGCGAAAGCGUGGGGACGCAAACAGGAUUAGACUACCCUGGGAA
This 339-nucleotide ribosomal RNA is filed under the name uncultured bacterium. RNAcentral's name for it is "bacterial SSU rRNA". It matches the Rfam family "Bacterial small subunit ribosomal RNA", at positions 457 to 793 of the family's 1533-position model. The record is from RNAcentral.